AGAGUUUGCCCUGGCUCAUGAUGAACGCUGGCGGCGUGCUUAACACAUGCAAGUCGAGCGAAGCACCCGGAAGUUUUCGCACGGAGGGGUGACUGAGCGGCGGACGGGUGAGUAACGCGUGGGUAACCUGCCUCAUACAGGGGGAUAACAGUUAGAAAUGACUGCUAAUACCGCAUAAGCGCACAGGGCCGCAUGGCCCGGUGUGAAAAAUUCCGGUGGUAUGAGAUGGACCCGCGUCUGAUUAGGUAGUUGGCGGGGUAACGGCCCACCAAGCCGACGAUCAGUAGCCGACCUGAGAGGGUGACCGGCCACAUUGGGACUGAGACACGGCCCAAACUCCUACGGGAGGCAGCAGUGGGGAAUAUUGCACAGUGGGCGAAAGCCUGAUGCAGCAACGCCGCGUGAGUGAAGAAGUAUUUCGGUAUGUAAAGCUCUAUCAGCAGGGAAGAACAUGACGGUACCUGACUAAGAAGCCCCGGCUAACUACGUGCCAGCAGACGCGGUAAUACGUAUGGGGCAAGCGUUAUCCGGAUUUACUGGGUGUAAAGGGAGCGUACACGGCGAGACAAGUCUGAAGUGAAAGCGCGGGGCUCAACCCCGGGACUGCUUUGGAAACUGCCUUGCUGGAGUGCUGGAGAGGUAAGCGGAAUUCCUAGUGUAGCGGUGAAAUGCGUAGAUAUUAGGAGGAACACCAGUGGCGAAGGCGGCUUACUGGACAGUAACUGACGUUGAGGCUCGAAAGCGUGGGGAGCAAACAGGAUUAGAUACCCUGGUAGUCCACGCGGUAAACGAUGAAUGCUAGGUGUUGGGGAGCAAAGCUCUUCGAUGCCGCCGCAAACGCAUUAAGCAUUCCACCUGGGGAGUACGUUCGCAAGAAUGAAACUCAAAGGAAUUGACGGGGACCCGCACAAGCGGUGGAGCAUGUGGUUUAAUUCGAAGCAACGCGAAGAACCUUACCAAGUCUUGCCAUCCUCCUGACCGGCGCGUAAUGGCGCUUUUCCUUCGGGACAGGAGAGACAGGUGGUGCAUGGUUGUCGUCAGCUCGUGUCGUGAGAUGUUGGGUUAAGUCCCGCAACGAGCGCAACCCUUAUCCCCAGUAGCCAGCAGUAAGAUGGGCACUCUGAGGAGACUGCCAGGGAUAACCUGGAGGAAGGUGGGGAUGACGUCAAAUCAUCAUGCCCCUUAUGAUUUGGGCUACACACGUGCUACAAUGGCGUAACCAAAGAGAGGCGAGACCGCGAGGUGGAGCAAAUCUCAAAAAUAACGUCUCAGUUCGGAUUGCAGGCUGCAACUCGCCUGCAUGAAGCUGGAAUCGCUAGUAAUCGCGGAUCAGAAUGCCGCGGUGAAUACGUUCCCGGGUCUUGUACACACCGCCCGUCAA
RNAcentral lists this ribosomal RNA (1381 nucleotides) under uncultured bacterium. RNAcentral's name for it is "bacterial SSU rRNA". It matches the Rfam family "Bacterial small subunit ribosomal RNA". The record is from RNAcentral.